UGGGGAAUAUUGGACAAUGGGCGCAAGCCUGAUCCAGCCAUGCCGCGUGAGUGAAGAAGGCCUUCGGGUUGUAAAGCUCUUUUACCAGGGACGAUAAUGACGGUACCUGGAGAAUAAGCCCCGGCAAACUUCGUGCCAGCAGCCGCGGUAAUACGAAGGGGGCUAGCGUUGUUCGGAAUUACUGGGCGUAAAGCGCACGUAGGCGGAUUGUUAAGUCAGAGGUGAAAUCCCGGAGCUCAACUUCGGAACUGCCUUUGAUACUGGCAAUCUCGAGUCCGGAAGAGGUUAGUGGAAUUCCCAGUGUAGAGGUGAAAUUCGUAGAUAUUGGGAAGAACACCAGUGGCGAAGGCGGCUAACUGGUCCGGUACUGACGCUGAGGUGCGAAAGCGUGGGGAGCAAACAGGAUUAGAUACCCCAGUAGUCCCUGAGCGGGC
Molecule: ribosomal RNA, 434 nt
Filed under: uncultured bacterium
Lineage: Bacteria
Description: bacterial SSU rRNA
Rfam family: Bacterial small subunit ribosomal RNA
Source: RNAcentral